CAGCAUGGCGAAAACCUGAAAGUGAUCCAGAUUGACCAGAGAAGAUUGGUGUCAAUGGCCUUCCUGUUGAGACUGGAA
Non-coding RNA from Oryza brachyantha (malo sina), 78 nucleotides. Lineage: Eukaryota; Viridiplantae; Streptophyta; Magnoliopsida; Poales; Poaceae. The record is from Rfam.